RNAcentral lists this ribosomal RNA (468 nucleotides) under uncultured bacterium. RNAcentral describes it as "partial 16S ribosomal RNA". It matches the Rfam family "Bacterial small subunit ribosomal RNA", at positions 28 to 507 of the family's 1533-position model. The record is from RNAcentral.
GACGAACGCUGGCGGCGUGCUUAACACAUGCAAGUCGAACGGAAAGGCCCUGCUUUUGUGGGGUGCUCGAGUGGCGAACGGGUGAGUAACACGUGAGUAACCUGCCCUUGACUUUGGGAUAACUUCAGGAAACUGGGGCUAAUACCGGAUAGGAGCUCCUGCUGCAUGGGGGGGGUUGGAAAGUUUCGGCGGUUGGGGAUGGACUCGCGGCUUAUCAGCUUGUUGGUGGGGUAGUGGCUUACCAAGGCUUUGACGGGUAGCCGGCCUGAGAGGGUGACCGGCCACAUUGGGACCGAGAUACGGCCCAGACUCCUACGGGAGGCAGCAGUGGGGAAUAUUGCACAAUGGGCGGAAGCCUGAUGCAGCAACGCCGCGUGCGGGAUGACGGCCUUCUGGUUGUAAACCGCUUUCGCCUGUGACGAAGCGUGAGUGACGGUAAUGGGUAAAGAAGCACCGGCUAACUACGUG